GGAGAUGUGGCCGAGUGGUUUAAGGCAGCAGUCUUGAAAACUGCCGUAGGGGUGACUCUACCGUGAGUUCGAAUCUCACCGUCUCCGCCA
This 90-nucleotide transfer RNA is filed under the name Nitrosomonas sp. RNAcentral's name for it is "tRNA-Ser". It matches the Rfam family "tRNA". From Rfam's summary of the family: Transfer RNA (tRNA) molecules are approximately 80 nucleotides in length. Their secondary structure includes four short double-helical elements and three loops (D, anti-codon, and T loops). Lineage: Bacteria; Pseudomonadati; Pseudomonadota; Betaproteobacteria; Nitrosomonadales; Nitrosomonadaceae. The record is from RNAcentral.